AUUCAGCUGACGAGUCCAAAAUAGAACGAAAUGCAUAUCCUGGAU
Non-coding RNA from Schistosoma mansoni, 45 nucleotides. NCBI's taxonomy places the organism in Eukaryota, Metazoa, Platyhelminthes, Trematoda, Strigeidida, Schistosomatidae. The record is from Rfam.